This 21-nucleotide non-coding RNA is filed under the name Caenorhabditis elegans. The record is from RNAcentral. Lineage: Eukaryota; Metazoa; Nematoda; Chromadorea; Rhabditida; Rhabditidae.
UGGAAAGAGUUUAAAAUAGUU